UGCAUCCUUACGGGAGGCAGCGCGACUGUAAAUAAUGCUGCCGUAUGCAAGUCAGCUUGCUGGCAACACGAUCGAAUUGCGGGGACCUCCUAAAGCUCAACCUACUCCCUGCCACCGAAAGGUGGUAGCAUAGUUAAAAUGGUUGGGAUGUUACAAUGGACGAUCCGCAGCGAAGACCCUAAAGCGUCAGCCACGGGUAACGUUCACAGACUAAGUGAUUGUGGGUAGGCUUCUACUUAAGAUAUAGUCGAGCCCUAGCCGAAAGGUUGGGGGUAAAGGUCCGUAGGUGAACCUGCGGAAGGAUCAUUA
Molecule: non-coding RNA, 309 nt
Filed under: Leptodophora cf. orchidicola
Lineage: Eukaryota; Fungi; Ascomycota; Leotiomycetes; Helotiales
Description: Cadophora cf. orchidicola partial 18S ribosomal RNA
Rfam family: Group I catalytic intron (bases 18-271)
About the family: Group I catalytic introns are large self-splicing ribozymes. They catalyse their own excision from mRNA, tRNA and rRNA precursors in a wide range of organisms.
Source: RNAcentral